This 230-nucleotide ribosomal RNA is filed under the name uncultured bacterium. RNAcentral's name for it is "partial 16S ribosomal RNA". It matches the Rfam family "Bacterial small subunit ribosomal RNA", at positions 15 to 237 of the family's 1533-position model. The record is from RNAcentral.
GAUCAUGGCUCAGGAUGAACGCUAGCUACAGGCUUAACACAUGCAAGUCGAGGGGCAGCAUGGUCUUAGCUUGCUAAGACCGAUGGCGACCGGCGCACGGGUGAGUAACGCGUAUCCAACCUGCCUUACACUCUUGGACAGCCUUCUGAAAGGGAGAUUAAUACAAGAUGUUAUCAUGAGUAAGCAUUUUCGCAUGNUUAAAGGUUACCGGUGUAAGAUGGGAGUGCGUU